Molecule: long non-coding RNA, 500 nt
Filed under: Rattus norvegicus (Norway rat)
Lineage: Eukaryota; Metazoa; Chordata; Mammalia; Rodentia; Muridae
Description: long non-coding RNA NONRATT031584
Source: RNAcentral
GUGAACGUCAGCCUGCAUACAACAUGGUGGUGCCACCAUCUACUUCAGGGCUGGGCAUGUAGCUAGGUGGUAAAGCACUUGCCUUCUGUACAUUCAACACUGGGAAAAAAAAUCACACCAUCCAAUGACAGCAUAAUGGUCCAAGCUUGUAUAAGAACACUGCAACAUUCGUGAACCAUUGUAGCUGAGUAGCCAUUCACUCCUUAGACUAUAUUCCCACCAUUCGUGCAUGACUACAUAAGGACAACAAACGGGAGACUCCUCAAAACACAUCCAGCAGAAAAGACAAGGCACACACAAACAUGAAAGGCGAGCUUUGAAGGAAGUGCUUACUAAUGGACAAUACUUCUCACCAGUCCUGUCUACUGUGGUUGCACCUCAUUCCUCACAGACUCCAGCUGGGCUGCCAAGGGCUGGGCUCCACAGUCAGAUAACUGCACUGGUCCUCAGGAUGUUCACUGAGUCCCUGCCAGCCUGACGCCAGGCGCUGGGGAGUCUGG